This 307-nucleotide ribosomal RNA is filed under the name Salmonella enterica subsp. enterica. Its description in RNAcentral is "bacterial SSU rRNA". It matches the Rfam family "Bacterial small subunit ribosomal RNA", at positions 1195 to 1501 of the family's 1533-position model. The record is from RNAcentral. Lineage: Bacteria; Pseudomonadati; Pseudomonadota; Gammaproteobacteria; Enterobacterales; Enterobacteriaceae.
AUGGCCCUUACGACCAGGGCUACACACGUGCUACAAUGGCGCAUACAAAGAGAAGCGACCUCGCGAGAGCAAGCGGACCUCAUAAAGUGCGUCGUAGUCCGGAUUGGAGUCUGCAACUCGACUCCAUGAAGUCGGAAUCGCUAGUAAUCGUGGAUCAGAAUGCCACGGUGAAUACGUUCCCGGGCCUUGUACACACCGCCCGUCACACCAUGGGAGUGGGUUGCAAAAGAAGUAGGUAGCUUAACCUUCGGGAGGGCGCUUACCACUUUGUGAUUCAUGACUGGGGUGAAGUCGUAACAAGGUAACC